GCCGGGGAAGAUCGGUUGCACGAAGGAAGAUAUUUGUACAAGCCACGCACUGCAGUUACUGGCCUACGAUUAAUGGCAGAUACGGAUUUCAGAGGUGGUCCCAGCUGUAAAUUCAACUGCACAAGGUUUUUGGGACAUUCAGAACAAGUCGAUGAAUCCGGAUGCUUCAGUUUAAAUUUUGUGUCGUUUUCUAAUUGGGACUGGUUGAUUUCGAGAAAAAAUAUUGAUUCAAGGAUGGAAGGGAUUUUAAACAGAAUCCGGCUCUGACGAGAGCUGCUCACUUGAACGGAGGAAGGAGUAAUAUUGGCAAAGUUCAUGUUAACACUUUAGUUUGUCUCGUCGUGAAUCUGAUUUUACGUCUAGUGCAAGUGCAAAUGGUACGCAAUGCAGCUGCGAAGAUUACACUGCAGCACAGUCAUGCAUCAAGGAGGAGAUUCGCGUGCUUCAAACAGCUUCGCUUUUGCAUCGAUUUACCAAUCAGAGCGAUGCUCUCUCUUUGAUACAUCGCUUACUCCUUCAAAACCGUCGUCUAUGGCAGGGAAAUCCGGUAUGCCAAAGAUUUUUAGCAGCCAAAUAGGACACUGCUCGCUACUAAUCAAAAUUUCAAUCAUAUAUAAUUGAAAAUACGUGGCUUGAUACAUUCAAAUCGAAACAUAGAAAUAUUUCCUAUCAAAUGAUGAAAUAAUAUUAAUAAUUGAUACAAAAUAGACUGAGCUGUAAGUGUUUAAAACCUGACCACAUUUCUACGUGUAGUUUUUCUUGAGUUUCUGAUUUGCACCCCUAUAUAGAAAAUAAAGAUG
Long non-coding RNA from Malaya genurostris, 800 nucleotides. RefSeq lists it as uncharacterized. Lineage: Eukaryota; Metazoa; Arthropoda; Insecta; Diptera; Culicidae. The transcript has 3 exons. The record is from RefSeq and is a predicted model, not a curated record.